UCUCUCUCUCUCUCUCUCUCUCGAUGCGCGCGCGCACACGCACACAGGAACGUCGGUCAAAGAUGACGGACGGCAAACACGCCCUUCGUGGCCCUCCCGGCUGGGUCGCUGCGUCCCCUGCGCUUUUUUGGCUGAAAAGAAGCAUCUUUUCCAUCCAAGUGUCGCAUUUCACCCUCCAAAUCUUUUUAUGUUGAAGAAAAUGCUGCUCUCACUCUCUUCCGUCGAAGCUAGUGGAGCUUCCAACGUUCCUGCUGCUGCUGCUCUGUUUUAUUCUCUUUCUCUCACCUGCUGAUGCCAGGAAGGUUGGGCUCUGUCACAUCCUUUGCGCUUUGGGUUAGAUUAACCGGUUACAGUUCUCAAAGAUCGACCUUUUCCUCUCUUUCCUGAUUCAUUUCCAUAGAUAUUUCGGUCUUUGAGGUGCCAACUUUUGUCUGCAAGCCAACCUUUUACUAACAGGUAAACAGUGUCUUGUGGAGUGGUUUUUCUUCAUCGCUGUUGUUUUGGGUCUCUCCAGCAUCUGUUCUGAACUCUCCCCGUCACCGAACGGUUUCAAUGCUUCUCUAUUUACGACACUAGUGGUUUCUGCUAAAGGAGGCGUCUCCCUCCCGAGUUCCGGAGUCGCAGAAACAGGGUUUCGGCUGGUUUUGGCGUGGUCCGGAAGAGGAGGUCGUGAUCGUACAGGUUGCCGAUGCCGGACCGUCUGCGGCUCGGAUCGGCGAUCAAGCACAACUCUUGCAGAUUUCGAUGCCCGAUUUGAUGGAGAAUCCCAUUGCAGUUUGACAGCCCAAGAUGUGCGAAGAUGAUAAUUGGUCGAUUGCAAUGUUUUCUAAGAAAUGGAAUUACAUAUAUUUAUCGCGAAAUUCAGAGAAUUAACAACAAAGUUAGAUGGAGGACAAUGUCUAUUGUUGCAAUUGUUCCCACUGUUCUGACGGCAAUUGGGGUUAUGAUCUUAUAAACCUUUCCUCCUUGUGCAUCCAACCUCUAUGUCAUCUCCUGCAUAACAGCAAGGGAAGCUUUUCAGGCUGAAACAGCUAUUUGCAAGAUGUGUCCAUGGCAGCUUAUGAUUUUACAACAGCUAUGCUCAUACAACAAUCAAGAACAGAUACAGAUUAUGAUUUUACUAUAAUCAUAAACACAGUAAUGCGUGCCCGAAAGAUUAUCUUCCCAAAUACUUUUUCUCUUAAGUAAACAUGUUCUACAAACUUGUUUGAUUAACUUGAAUCUCCCUGCACAAGUUUCCAGUUUUUUUAUCAGUCUUUGCUUUUUGAGCAUAGUGAACAAGUUUGGCAAAAGUAUGCCUUCUUGCAGUUCUUGUACAUAUCUGGCAAUUCGUGGAGACUAAGCGCCGGUCUUUGAAAGAGAUCGAGAGUGCUCUUAUUGCAGCAGGUUGAUAUAAGAUUACCCAAAUCAUUCUGCCAAUGAGAAAUUUGUCCUUUUGGGUUUUCAAAAGCUUGGGCAUAUCGAGGAUAAUGUAGUCCUGACUCAAGUAAUUCAAACCUGAUGGCCCUCAAAACUUUAGAGAGGGAGAGAGAGAACUUGGCAUUUGUUCUAAUUGAAAGUCUUAUUCUCAGUCAUAAGGCUUAUUGCAGUAAUGUGAACUGAAUGUAUAGUCUGUCCCAAAGACAUGGAUUGGACUCAAUCGUCAAGUUUCAAACUGCAGUUUGAUUGAAACUGUGAGCUUGCAAGCUUUGUCUGCACAUCAGAAUGUAUAGCAGCUACUGCUACUUUUGUUGUCUGCUCUCCUGGUCAGUUGACCAAUUCUUAUUUGGUCAAAAGAAAAUAAUACACUUUUGUUUGUUCUAAGUGAUCUUGUGCUUAUGCUAA
Musa acuminata AAA Group (dessert banana) is the source of this 1824-nucleotide long non-coding RNA. RefSeq lists it as uncharacterized. The transcript has 3 exons. Lineage: Eukaryota; Viridiplantae; Streptophyta; Magnoliopsida; Zingiberales; Musaceae. The record is from RefSeq and is a predicted model, not a curated record.